RNAcentral lists this long non-coding RNA (411 nucleotides) under Rattus norvegicus (Norway rat). RNAcentral describes it as "long non-coding RNA NONRATT014807". Lineage: Eukaryota; Metazoa; Chordata; Mammalia; Rodentia; Muridae. The record is from RNAcentral.
GCGGGCCCAGUCAACAGCUACCAAACUUGGGAAAAUAUGCCUGAAGCCAGCCAUACCUGCAGCCCCUCCCGUGCCCUUGCCCAGCCGACACCGCCGAGUGUGUUCAGAUGAAGGGGGGAAGCUCUCUCCUUUCCUGCCCCCUGAGAUCUUCCAGAAGCUGCAGGUGGCAGAAUCGCACAACUCUAAGAAACUCUGUCUCUACAGCGGCAGAUGAUGGAGAAUCUGGUGAUCGCCAAAGCAAGAGAAGAGACACUGCAGCGGAAGAUGGAGCAGCGCCGCCUGCGACUUCAGGAGGCUGCCAACAGGAGGUUCUGCAGUCAAGUUGCUCUGACCCCAGAGGAGCGGGAGCAGCGAGCCCUGUAUGCUGCCAUCUUGGAAUAUGAGCAAGACCAUGACUGGCCAAAGCACUGG